This 468-nucleotide ribosomal RNA is filed under the name uncultured bacterium. RNAcentral describes it as "partial 16S ribosomal RNA". It matches the Rfam family "Bacterial small subunit ribosomal RNA", at positions 28 to 507 of the family's 1533-position model. The record is from RNAcentral.
GAUGAACGCUGGCGGCUUGCUUAACACAUGCAAGUCGAACGGUGAACACGGAGCUUGCUCUGUGGGAUCAGUGGCGAACGGGUGAGUAACACGUGAGCAACCUGCCCCUGACUCUGGGAUAAGCGCUGGAAACGGCGUCUAAUCCUGGAUAUGUGACGUUAUCGCAUGUUCUGCGUCUGGAAAGAAUUUCGGUUGGGGAUGGGCUCGCGGCCUAUCAGCUUGUUGGUGAGGUAAUGGCUCACCAAGGCGUCGACGGGUAGCCGGCCUGAGAGGGUGACCGGCCACACUGGGACUGAGACACGGCCCAGACUCCUACGGGAGGCAGCAGUGGGGAAUAUUGCACAAUGGGCGCAAGCCUGAUGCAGCAACGCCGCGUGAGGGAUGACGGCCUUCGGGUUGUAAACCUCUUUUAGCAGGGAAGAAGCGAAAGUGACGGUACCUGCAGAAAAAGCGCCGGCUAACUACGUG